CUCUACUAGCACAACUAUAUAAUUUGACAUAUUUUUUAUAUUUUACUUUUAAAACUCUAUCGAUCAUAACUCUAUCAAAAUUAUUCCAUACAAUACUAAUCUUCUUACAGGGAAGGGAUUUGACCUUCGAUAUUGGUUUCAGAGGAAUUAGGAGCAUUAGUUUUUUCUACCUCAAAAACAGAGGAAAUGUCAAAAUAACUCUCAUUAAAAAAUGCCAUAUCUAAAAAUGAUGAAUGCAAAUAAUAAAAACUAACUUUUGCCGUAUCUAAAAAUGAUGAAUGUAAAAAAUAAAAACUAACCACAAGGAGAAAUUGAAUAGAAAUAGAGCGG
RNAcentral lists this long non-coding RNA (330 nucleotides) under Elaeis guineensis (African oil palm). Its description in RNAcentral is "long non-coding RNA (EGUI_LNC023813)". The record is from RNAcentral. Lineage: Eukaryota; Viridiplantae; Streptophyta; Magnoliopsida; Arecales; Arecaceae.